GCAGGUAGGUGGUCCAGGGAUACCUUGGAAAACCGUAGCCCUAGCCACUGUACCUGAAACUAGAUUUGGUACCUGUGAUAGAAGAUCAUGAAUGAAUUCUCAAGAAGAAAUGACAGUGAGAUUUCAAAUGAUUUUUUUUUCUCUUAAAUUUGGUGACUGAAUCAGAAGUCCUCAAGUUUACAAAAUGGCUGGAUGUAUCCACUAGAGGUCAUGAUUGAGUCUAUAUCAAGACCAGAUUACUGUUAGGGUUCUCACAUAUUUUGGUCUCAGAAUCACUUUAAACUCUUAAAAAUAACGAAGACAGCAAAGAGCUUUUGUUUAGGCUUGAGACUCUUAUGCUCGUUUUCUCCACACUCGGAGUCCACAUCGGCUGAUGAUAGACAGUGAAAAGUGCUCGUUGGAACUGUGUGACUCACAGCGUUUUGCAGAACAUGACAGUUGAUACUUUGCAGGCAACAGAGUUUAGCUGAUGCACAAAUAAAUGUUUCUCUGCUUCACUUAUAAA
Molecule: non-coding RNA, 505 nt
Organism: Macaca mulatta (Rhesus monkey)
Lineage: Eukaryota; Metazoa; Chordata; Mammalia; Primates; Cercopithecidae
Source: RefSeq, a predicted model, not a curated record